Molecule: ribosomal RNA, 490 nt
Filed under: uncultured bacterium
Lineage: Bacteria
Description: partial 16S ribosomal RNA
Rfam family: Bacterial small subunit ribosomal RNA
Source: RNAcentral
AUUGAACGCUGGCGGCAGGCCUAACACAUGCAAGUCGAACGGAAAGAGGAAGAAGCUUGCUUCUUGGCUUACGAGUGGCGGACGGGUGAGACAUGUCUGGGACACUGCUUGAUGGAUGGGGAUAACUACUGAAAACGGUAGCUAAUACCGCAUAACUACGCAACACCAAAGAGGGGGACCUUCGGGCGUCUUGGCAUCGGAUGAUCCCAGGUGGCAUUAGCUAGUAGGUGGGGUAACGGCUCACCUAGGCGACGAUCCGUAGCUGGUCUGAGAGGAUGACCGGCCACACUGGAACUGAGACACGGUCCAGACUCCUACGGGAGGCAGCAGUAGGGAAUCUUGCGCAAUGGGCGCAAGCCUGAUGCAGCCAUGCCGCGUGUAUGAAGAAGGCCUUCGGGUUGUAAAGUUCUUUUAGUGGGGAGGAAGGGAUUUAAGUUAAUCCCUGUACUUCUUGACGUUACCCGCAGAGGAAGCCCCGGCUAACUCCGUG